RNAcentral lists this ribosomal RNA (468 nucleotides) under uncultured bacterium. RNAcentral describes it as "partial 16S ribosomal RNA". It matches the Rfam family "Bacterial small subunit ribosomal RNA", at positions 28 to 507 of the family's 1533-position model. The record is from RNAcentral.
GACGAACGCUGGCGGCGUGCUUAACACAUGCAAGUCGAACGGAAAGGCCCUGCUUUUGUGGGGUGCUCGAGUGGCGAACGGGUGAGUAACACGUGAGUAACCUGCCCUUGACUUUGGGAUAACUUCAGGAAACUGGGGCUAAUACCGGAUAGGAGCUCCUGCUGCAUGGUGGGGGUUGGAAAGUUUCGGCGGGUGGGGAUGGACUCGCGGCUUAUCAGCUUGUUGGUGGGGUAGUGGCUUACCAAGGCUUUGACGGGUAGCCGGCCUGAGAGGGUGACCGGCCACAUUGGGACUGAGAUACGGCCCAGACUCCUACGGGAGGCAGCAGUGGGGAAUAUUGCACAAUGGGCGGAAGCCUGAUGCAGCAACGCCGCGUGCGGGAUGACGGCCUUCGGGUUGUAAACCGCUUUCGCCUGUGACGAAGCGUGAGUGACGGUACUGGGUAAAGAAGCACCGGCUAACUACGUG